GGGGUUGUCUCUGGAGAGCAAGCGCUCCCCCUGGCUCUGCGCAAACAGGAAAUUCAAUUAUUGACCAUGUGCGCGCUUAAACGAGACCGAUGCAUCACUGACAGUUGGAGGAAAUGAAUGCAGUCUGUCCGGAACCGUUUUUAUUCACUUCAGCAGAACGGCCACCAAACGCUUUGCUCACCCUGUCGAUUCAAAAUGAAACAUCAAAGCGUACAAGAGGCCGAAAGGACACAUUUUAUCGGUGAGCCGCGACGCGUCGGGAGUCGAGGCGCCCUCCGCUUUUCGGAUUGAGCCGUUAAAGCGACUGUCAUCGCGUCUGCCUUUGGGUUUGCGUCUCGCCCCGGAGCCAAAUUCCUCCACGCUUGGCAACGCUUCAAUCUCGCGCGCCGUUUUUUGGGUCACGUGACGCGUGUGAUGCCGCGCGUCGGUCGAGAUGCUAUAGCGUGGAUCCGAGCCGCAGAAGGUACGUUGUUCUGACAAUUGUGAUAUGAUCUCAGCGUAAUUAUUACUAAACGUACUUUUGGAAAUAUUUGGAGAGCCGUGUUUUCUUUUUAAGUUCUACUUCCUUGUACAUUUUCAUAUCAAGCAGUUCCAUACAAUUGCAUUUUGCGACUUUAUAAUAUUAAAGUGAUCCGCCGUUACCUUGAUUCUGUUCUGUUUUGAAUAAAAAUAUGACACAAAGCUUAUUUUGUUUUUGUCUUUUGUUGUUUUUUUUUACUCCUCUGAUGUAGCACAAUUUUCAUCUUCAAAAGCACUCAUCGACAUAUACCGUAAUUUCCGGCUUAUAAACCGCGACUUUUUUCACACGGUUUCAACCCUGCGGCUUCUGCGGUGAUGCGGCUAAUUUGUGCAUUUUUUUUCUAACGGCUGCAAGGGGGCACUGGAGCUGAAAAAGUAAGAGUAUAUGUGGAAGUGGAGUAUAUGUAACGAGGAAGUGACUUUUACCGGUCCGGGCCUGUUAGCGCUGUGCUAGUGUGUGACUGCCAUGUCUCUGUGAUUUCUUUUUUUUUAACUGGCCCUGUUGGCGCCGCGCUAUCAUUAGCGCUGUGCUAAUGCGUUGCUGCUGUGUUACUGCCGUGUCUCAGUGAUUUUUACAGGUAUUUUUUUUAAUCGGCCCUGUUAGCGCUGUGCUAGCAUGUUGCUGCCGCGUCUCGGUGAUUUUUACCGGUAUGUUUUUUUUAACUGGCCCUGUUAGUGCUGCACUAGCGUUAGCACUGUGCUAGUGUCUUGCUGCUGCGUUAACACCGUGUCUCAAUGAUUUUUAGCGGCAUGUUUUUUUUUACCGGCCCUGUUAGCGCUGUGCUAGAGUGUUGCUGCCGCAUCUCAGUGAUUUUUACCGGUAUGUUUUUUUUAACCGACCCUGUUAGCGUUGCGCUAGCAUUAGCGCUGUGCUAGUGUGUUCCUUUUUUUUUUUUUUU
Syngnathoides biaculeatus (alligator pipefish) is the source of this 1418-nucleotide long non-coding RNA. RefSeq lists it as uncharacterized. Lineage: Eukaryota; Metazoa; Chordata; Actinopteri; Syngnathiformes; Syngnathidae. The transcript has 3 exons. The record is from RefSeq and is a predicted model, not a curated record.